Molecule: ribosomal RNA, 551 nt
Filed under: uncultured Acaulospora
Lineage: Eukaryota; Fungi; Glomeromycota; Glomeromycetes; Diversisporales; Acaulosporaceae
Description: SSU rRNA
Rfam family: Eukaryotic small subunit ribosomal RNA
Source: RNAcentral
UUGGAGGGCAAGUCUGGUGCCAGCAGCCGCGGUAAUUCCAGCUCCAAUAGCGUAUAUUAAAGUUGUUGCAGUUAAAAAGCUCGUAGUUGAAUUUCGGAAUCUGUCCGUCGGUCGGGCUUCACUGUCCGUACUGGUGUGAUGGGUUUCUACCUUCUGAAUAAUCGGCAUGUCAUUAAUUAGAUGCGCCGGGGAAGCAGAACUAUUACCUUGAAAAAAUUAGAGUGCUUAAAGCAGGCUAUCGCCUGAAUAGAUUAGCAUGGAAUAAUAAAAUAGGACGGCAUGGUUCUAUUUUGUUGGUUUCUAGGAUCACCGUAAUGAUUAAUAGGGAUAGUUGGGGGCAUUAGUAUUCAAUUGUCAGAGAUGAAAUUCUUGGAUUUAUCGAAGACUAACUUCUGCGAAAGCAUUUGCCAAGGAUGUUUUCAUUAAUCAAGAACGAAAGUUAGGGGAUCGAAGACGAUCAGAUACCGUCGUAGUCUUAACCAUAAACUAUGCCGACUAGGGAUCGGACGAUGUUAAUUUUUUAAUGACUCGUUCGGCGCCUUACGGGAAAC